This is a long non-coding RNA of Lampris incognitus (smalleye Pacific opah), 384 nucleotides long. RefSeq lists it as uncharacterized. The record is from RefSeq and is a predicted model, not a curated record. Lineage: Eukaryota; Metazoa; Chordata; Actinopteri; Lampriformes; Lampridae. The transcript has 3 exons.
CAAAGAGAGACAGAGAGUCGAUACAUUGCUGAUGCCAAGCCCUGACCACAGUGGUGGGAUGUAGCCUACUGGUAACAGUUUACAAAAAAAAAUCAGUGGUUCAGAAUCUUCAGAUGGCUCUGUACUACAGCAGCAAAGGAGAUAUUGUGAAGGUGCCUUUCCUUAAAUUGAAGGAUGAAGUCCCAAAAGAUGAAAUGGGAAUUUUCAAAGAGCUGGCUGCUGAAUGCUUCUGUUUGGGCUGUUUGAUGGCUUUAAACAACCUUGAUUGGAAGGGUCAUGUGCGCGAGCCGGAUCCUUGGAACCUAUUCCCAAUCAACAUCAGGACAACUUCGGAAGGGGAGAAUGAGCCAAUGGAGCAAUAAAGUGAAGCAAUGAAGUUGAUCC